RNAcentral lists this ribosomal RNA (305 nucleotides) under uncultured bacterium. RNAcentral describes it as "bacterial SSU rRNA". It matches the Rfam family "Bacterial small subunit ribosomal RNA", at positions 333 to 653 of the family's 1533-position model. The record is from RNAcentral.
UAUGGCCUACGGGACGCAGCAGUCGGGAAUAUUGCGCAAUGGAGGAAACUCUGACGCAGUGACGCCGCGUAUAGGACGAAGGUCUUCGGAUUGUAAACUAUUGUCGUUAGGGAAGAGAAAGGACAGUACCUAAGGAGGAAGCUCCGGCUAACUACGUGCCAGCAGCCGCGGUAAUACGUAGGGGGCAAGCGUUGUUCGGAAUGACUGGGCGUAAAGGGUGUGUAGGCGGUGUAGCAAGUUAGAAGUGAAAUACCUAGAGCUUAACUCAGGUGCUGCUUCUAAAACUGCUAUACUUGAGUGCAGUA